Molecule: ribosomal RNA, 477 nt
Filed under: uncultured bacterium
Lineage: Bacteria
Description: bacterial SSU rRNA
Rfam family: Bacterial small subunit ribosomal RNA
Source: RNAcentral
GACGAACGCUGGCGGCGUGCUUAACACAUGCAAGUCGAACGAGAAUCUGUGGAAAGAGGAUUCGUCCAAUUGAAGCAGAGGACAGUGGCGGACGGGUGAGUAACGCGUGAGGAACCUGCCUUUCAGAGGGGGACAACAGUUGGAAACGACUGCUAAUACCGCAUAACAUAUAGAUGUCGCAUGGCAUUUAUAUCAAAGAUUUAUCGCUGAAAGAUGGCCUCGCGUCUGAUUAGCUAGUUGGUGAGGUAACGGCCCGCCAAGGCGACGAUCAGUAGCCGGACUGAGAGGUUGAACGGCCACAUUGGGACUGAGAUACGGCCCAGACUCCUACGGGAGGCAGCAGUGGGGAAUAUUGCACAAUGGGCGCAAGCCUGAUGCAGCGACGCCGCGUGAAGGAUGAAGUAUUUCGGUAUGUAAACUUCUAUCAGCAGGGAAGAAAAUGACGGUACCUGACUAAGAAGCCCCGGCUAACUACGU